RNAcentral lists this ribosomal RNA (433 nucleotides) under uncultured bacterium. Its description in RNAcentral is "partial 16S ribosomal RNA". It matches the Rfam family "Bacterial small subunit ribosomal RNA", at positions 29 to 507 of the family's 1533-position model. The record is from RNAcentral.
AACGAACGCUGGCGGCAUGCCUAACACAUGCAAGUCGAACGAGAACUUCGGGUCUAGUGGCGCACGGGUGCGUAACGCGUGGGAACCUGCCCUUAGGUUCGGAAUAACUCCCCGAAAGGGGUGCUAAUACCGGAUAAUGUCUUCGGACCAAAGAUUUUUCGCCUUUGGAUGGGCCCGCGUUGGAUUAGCUAGUUGGUAGGGUAAAAGCCUACCAAGGCGACGUUGCAUAGCUGGUCGGGUAGGAUGCUUAGCCACACUGGGACUGAGACACGGCCCAGACUCCUACGGGAGGCAGCAGUGGGGAAUAUUGGACAAUGGGCGAAAGCCUGAUCCAGCAGUGCCGCGUGAGUGAUGAAGGCCUUAGGGUUGUAAAGCUCUUUUACCCGGGAUGAUAAUGACGGUACCGGGUGAAUAAGCUCCGGCUAACUCCGUG